GACGAACGCUGGCGGCGUGCUUAACACAUGCAAGUCGAACGGUGAAGCGCCUUCCUUUUUGGUGGGUGUGGAUGAGUGGCGAACGGGUGAGUAACACGUGAGUAACCUGCCCCCUUCUUCUGGAUAACCGCAUGAAAGUGUGGCUAAUACGGGAUAUUCUGGGUCUGUCGCAUGAUGGGUCUGGGAAAGAUAUUGUUUCGGUGGGGGAUGGGCUCGCGGCCUAUCAGCUUGUUGGUGGGGUGAUGGCCUACCAAGGCGGUGACGGGUAGCCGGCCUGAGAGGGUGGACGGUCACACUGGGACUGAGGCACGGCCCAGACUGCUACGGGAGGCAGCAGUGGGGAAUAUUGCACAAUGGGCGCAAGCCUGAUGCAGCGACGCCGCGUGAGGGAUGGAGGCCUUCGGGUUGUGAACCUCUUUCGCCAGUGAAGCAGGCCUGCCUCGUUUGUGGGUGGGUUGACGGUAGCUGGAUAAGAAGCGCCGGCUAACUACGUG
This 494-nucleotide ribosomal RNA is filed under the name uncultured bacterium. RNAcentral describes it as "partial 16S ribosomal RNA". It matches the Rfam family "Bacterial small subunit ribosomal RNA", at positions 28 to 507 of the family's 1533-position model. The record is from RNAcentral.